GAUGGACGCUGGCGGCGUGCUUAACACAUGCAAGUCGAACGGUGAAGCAGGAGCUUGCUCUUGUGGAUCAGUGGCGAACGGGUGAGUAACACGUGAGCAACCUGCCCCUGACUCUGGGAUAAGCGCUGGAAACGGCGUCUAAUACUGGAUAUGUGAUGUGACCGCAUGGUCUGCAUCUGGAAAGAAUUUCGGUUGGGGAUGGGCUCGCGGCCUAUCAGCUUGUUGGUGAGGUAAUGGCUCACCAAGGCGUCGACGGGUAGCCGGCCUGAGAGGGUGACCGGCCACACUGGGACUGAGACUCGGCCCAGACUCCUACGGGAGGCAGCAGUGGGGAAUAUUGCACAAUGGGCGGAAGCCUGAUGCAGCAACGCCGCGUGAGGGAUGACGGCCUUCGGGUUGUAAACCUCUUUUAGCAGGGAAGAAGCGAAAGUGACGGUACCUGCAGAAAAAGCACCGGCUAACUACGUGCCAGCCGCCGCGGUAA
RNAcentral lists this ribosomal RNA (484 nucleotides) under uncultured bacterium. Its description in RNAcentral is "partial 16S ribosomal RNA". It matches the Rfam family "Bacterial small subunit ribosomal RNA", at positions 28 to 523 of the family's 1533-position model. The record is from RNAcentral.